UAUUACAAUGUUUCGGCCACGUUUCAGU
Molecule: small RNA, 28 nt
Filed under: Bombyx mori (domestic silkworm)
Lineage: Eukaryota; Metazoa; Arthropoda; Insecta; Lepidoptera; Bombycidae
Description: piRNA piR-bmo-1569195
Source: RNAcentral